Molecule: ribosomal RNA, 253 nt
Filed under: uncultured bacterium
Lineage: Bacteria
Description: partial 16S ribosomal RNA
Rfam family: Bacterial small subunit ribosomal RNA
Source: RNAcentral
UACGUAGGGUGCAAGCGUUGUCCGGAAUUAUUGGGCGUAAAGAGCUCGUAGGCGGUCUGUCGCGUCGGCUGUGAAAACCCGGGGCUCAACCCCGGGCCUGCAGUCGAUACGGGCAGACUAGAGUGUGGUAGGGGAGACUGGAAUUCCUGGUGUAGCGGUGAAAUGCGCAGAUAUCAGGAGGAACACCGGUGGCGAAGGCAGCUCGCUGGAACGGUACUGACGCUGAGGCGCGAAAGCGUGGGGAGCGAACAGG